GCACAGGAGAGAGUUCGUUGGAGAGUUAGUUGGGGAGUUCGUUAGAGAGUUUGUCAGUUCGUCCGCUCCUUUUUUCUUACUGUAAUAAAAACUCUACCGAAGAGGGAUCAACAGCGUCCGGUGUGGCUCCUCGGCGGGCGGGGGAGCAACAUUUCUUGUCUGCUGGUUAACUUCACAAAUGCUUACAACAUCCAAGACUAGACCAGGCUAAAGCCAGGAUCCAGGAACUUGGUCUGAGUCUUCCAUGUGGUGGUAGGAACCCAACUACUUGAGCCAGCACCUGCUGCCACCAAAGGUGUACAUAACCAGGAAGCUGGAAUAAGAAGUGGAAUUGCUUCUCCAUCCCACACAUCUGAUAUUGGGCUGUGAAUAACCCAAGUAGCAUCUUUACCACUAUGCCAAAGGCCAGCAUAUCAAAGUGAUUAUGUCUGCAAUGGUUGGAGCUGCACUGAUCAGAUGCCAGGAGCCCAGAGCUUCUUCUAGGUCUCCCACAUGGGUGAAGCGGAUUUGGGCCAUCUUCUACUGCUUUCCCAGGCCAUAGCAGAGAGCUGAAUCAGAAGUGGAACAGCUAGGUCUUGAACUGUUGUCCAUAUGGAUGCUGGUACUGCAGGCAGUGAAUUUAUCAGGCAGAGCAACAAGGAGAGAGAGGGAGAAGGAAAAUUUCCACCCAAUGGUUCAUUUACCAAAUCAAGAGUCAAGUUCUGCCAGUGUCCUUAUGAAGACCUUUGAACACAAUCGGAAGGGAAAGAGACUUGAAUUAUUGGAUGAGUGGAAAAGACCAGCAGAGAAGAAACAUAAAAGAAAUAGAGGAAAGAAAGUCAGUAAUGGAACAAGUUCCCAGAGGAAAUAAGAAAAUAGGGAUUAGCCAUCUUCUCCUUAAUGUCUCCAUGUGCACUCAGGGAAUUAUUUUCUAGUGUCUAUUACCCUCAGUUUUUUUGUUUACGUGUGGGUCUUCUUUGCAGACUAUAAAUUGUUUGAGAUGUGGAACACUGAACUAACAGCAUCUUCAAGAAUAUCUGAGGUAUAACAGGCUGUCAGGUGCCAAGUGAGUGAAAUACUGAACUUAAGAAAUGUAAAAUUCUUUCCAUCCUGGAAAAGGCUCUGCAGUGUCUCUUGCUUAGUGCUUCAAAUGUAUACCAUUACUCGCUCUUUUAGACUAGAGUCUUGAUAACCUGAGUUAAGAACCAUUGCCAGGACAUUGUAAAGUACCAUGCUAUUUCAGCUAUUUCUACCUCUGCAUAAACUCUUUUGACUGAUUAGCCAAUCAAUCGCCAAAAAGACUCAGAGAAUGUAAACCUAGGUAGUUUAUCACCAUUUGGUGAGUUUGAGCCAAGGGAAGAUAAAACUAGGAGAACAGGGGGUCUUUUUUCUGGGAAGCAACAUGGGGAGGGUCUGGAAAACUGAGUUCUAGUAGCCAAGUUGAGCAUACAUACGUGUGGUGAGCUGGGGAGGAGUCAAGGUUGAUGGAAGACAAUUGCACACAAUGUUAUGUAUGGGGUGGUCAAAGCCAGACUUUGAACCUCACAUUAUGUGAUCAAGCUAUCAUUUAGCAUGAUUUGUGUUCUCUGGCUGCUCAGAAAAUCAAAUAAUAGAAAAUGACACUUCUCAUUGGUGGACAGAGUCAUUCCAGAGAGAACACCAUUUGAUGUUUGUAGAAUAUUCUGUGAAUAUAGAAAAGUAUCCCAUAUAAUGCUCCAAUUCCUGACUAGCUAGCAGAGGCCCCUGUUUUCUGCCAUCACUCAGUUUUUUAUUUUAUUUUAUUUUUUAAAGAUUUAUUUAUUUAUUUGAAAGUCAGAGUUACAAAGAGAGAAGAGAGGCAGAGAGAGAGAGAGAGAGAGAGAGAGAGAGGUCUUCCAUCCAUUGGUUCAAUCCCCAGUUGGCCGCAACGGCUGGAGCUGCUGUCCAAAGGCAGGAGCCAGGAGCUUAUUCCAGGUCUCCCACAUGGGUGCAGGGGCCCAAGGUCUUGGGCCAUCUUCUACUGCUUUCCCAGGCUAUAGGAGAGAGCUGGAUCGGAAGUGGAGCAGCUGGGACUAGAAAUGGCACCCAUAUGGGAUGCCGGUGCUUCAGGCCAGGGCACUAACUUGCUGCACCACAGCGCUGGCCCCCAUCACUCAGUUUUUAAUCUGGCUGUUGUUCAACACCUAAAGGAUAGAUCCCUCUUUCCUCUUAUUUUACAUUGUAAUUCAACAAAUGGCUCUGCCCUGCCUUGCCUUGACUUCAAUACUAAUCCAUUAUUUUCUCCUUGAAAAUACUUAUUCUAUGAUCAACCUAUUUCUAUUUUAUCUUAAAUUCUUUCCUAAAGAUUGCUUCCACCUCCUUAUUUUAAUCUUGAAAUUAUUUCACUUCUAAAAUCACUAGUUCAAAAUCAUUGCUCUCUGAGUUCAAUUUCCUAUCUUUCCAGCUUAUUUGUUUGUAUAGUCUUCCCAUGAACAUUCAGACCUAUUCCUUUGACCCCUGUUUGUUUUGCUAUCUAUAGGCUUUUAACUUACUUUGACUUUCCUUUUUAUCCAGCUUUGAUUGUGUGACCCUUCAUUACAAUUAAGUUUACAGAAAUGCUGAAUACUUUGUCUCUCUUUUUUAAAUUACUUUUAUCAGGGACAAACUCAAACCUUUAUGAAACUAUUGCUAGGGAAAAUAUUUUGCUGGAAAAAAGUUUCACAUGAAAGUCUGAUUCCACUCAAAUUUUUGAUUAUCAAUCCCAGCUGAAUCCCAAUAUUAGUACUAGGUAAUAAUUGUACUAUGUUUAAUUAGUCAACUUCUCUCCAACUUUCACAAUAUCAAACCUAUUACAUUUUCAUUCAUCUUAAGCCUCUGCCUAAUUGCUGCUGCAAACUAUCAGCAGACAAUCUUAUUCUUCCCUUUAUAGGGAAAAUUGAAGCCAUCAUGAGAACCCCUUUGUCUUUCCAUCUUUCCAUCUAUAUCCACUUUUCCAUCUAUAACUUGUUAAAAAUGAGGAGUUAUAUAUCUUAUACUGCCAAUCACUUCAUACAUACUUAGGAAAAUAAUAUUCUUUAUAACAAACUAACUACUAAUUAGAGUGAUACUAAAAAUCUGGUGGAGAUUACAGCAAACAGACUCUGCCCGACUUCAUUCUUCCUGUUGCGCCACUGGAGGAUUGCGAGUUAGACAGAGCCAGACUUGAUGAUGUCACCACAUCCACAAGCUCUUCCAGUCAGUGUGGCCUUGGGCUCUCUGCACUAAGCUACAAGAACUUGUCCUUCACUGUUCUCUGUAAUCAUCUACAAGCAUCAGCAAAUGAACAUAAAAGGGCUGCAGGUAUGGCAUCAAGACACCAACAAAGGAACCAGCAUUGUCACAUCAUAGGUUAAGCCACUCCUAGGAAAGCAGCAGCAGAUGACCCAAGUACCUGGGCCCCUGCCACCCACAGGGAUACCCACAUAGAGUUCCAGGCUCCUGGCUUCCACCUGGCCCAGCCCUGGUUGUUGUAGCUCUUUGGGGAGUGAACCAGUGGAUGGAAGAUCUUUUUCUCUGUCUGUCACUCUGCCUUUGAAGUAAAUAAAAUAAAUCUUAAAAAAAACCCAACAAUUUAAAGAUGUUUAUUUUUUGUAAUUCGAAAUCCAAGAGUUCUCUUUUCUAUGAACUUUUUGAAGACUCCUCAUGUGCAUGGAUUUAAACACAUUUUGCACCAAAGUAAACAUCUUUUAAUUCCAUUUUCCAUGAGCCUUUUGACAUCUCAUAUGUGGCCCUUCUAGUCUCCUAUUACAGAGCUGGAAACAUUGAAUGACAGGCCCACUUCCUUAAUGUGAGAAGAAGGGAACGAGGAGAAAGAAAGGUGACAUCCAGACCCCAACCCAAACCAAACCAAAAUAAUCCUUCUGCACUGCUGAUGAGCCCACUAGACAGCAGAGGCUCUGAAUGGAAUCCACGUUCAAGGCAUCAUAGUCACUUACAUAAAGAUAAAAUGUCAAUUUUGCUCAUACAUUUUUUAAUUUUUUGUGCUUUGCAUAUUAGUUACCACAAAUCAGGGAAAAUAUAUGAUAUUUGUCUUUUUGGGACUGGUUUAUUUCACUAAGCAUGAUGGUUUCAUGUUAUAUCUGUUUUGUUGCAAAAGACAUGAUUUCAUUCCUUUUUAUGGCUGAAUUAUAGUCCAUUGUGCAUACAUACUGUGAUUGCUUUAUCCAGUCAUCAGCUGAUAUACAUCUAUAUGUUAACUACUGUGAAUUGAGCUGCUAUAAACGUGGAUACAGAUAACAUAGUUUAUUUCAUUUCCACUGGGUAAAUUCCUAGGAGUGGACUGUCUGGGUCAUAUGGUAGACCUAUUUUCAGAUUAUAUAAGCAGAAAUUUCCAAUGUAUUAUGUAUUAUGUAAUUUCCCCCCACAU
Molecule: non-coding RNA, 4342 nt
Organism: Oryctolagus cuniculus (rabbit)
Lineage: Eukaryota; Metazoa; Chordata; Mammalia; Lagomorpha; Leporidae
Source: RefSeq, a predicted model, not a curated record